RNAcentral lists this ribosomal RNA (497 nucleotides) under uncultured bacterium. RNAcentral describes it as "partial 16S ribosomal RNA". It matches the Rfam family "Bacterial small subunit ribosomal RNA", at positions 28 to 507 of the family's 1533-position model. The record is from RNAcentral.
GAUGAACGCUGGCGGCGUGCCUAAUACAUGCAAGUCGAGCGAACGGACGAGAAGCUUGCUUCUCUGAUGUUAGCGGCGGACGGGUGAGUAACACGUGGAUAACCUACCUAUAAGACUGGGAUAACUUCGGGAAACCGGAGCUAAUACCGGAUAAUAUUUUGAACCGCAUGGUUCAAAAGUGAAAGACGGUCUUGCUGUCCCUUAUAGAUGGAUCCGCGCUGCAUUAGCUAGUUGGUAAGGUAACGGCUUACCAAGGCAACGAUGCAUAGCCGACCUGAGAGGGUGAUCGGACACACUGGAACUGAGACACGGUCCAGACUCCUACGGGAGGCAGCAGUAGGGAAUCUUCCGCAAUGGGCGAAAGCCUGACGGAGCAACGCCGCGUGAGUGAUGAAGGUCUUCGGAUCGUAAAACUCUGUUAUUAGGGAAGAACAUAUGUGUAAGUAACUGUGCACAUCUUGACGGUACCUAAUCAGAAAGCCACGGCUAACUACGUG